GACGUAGGGCGCGAGCGUUGUCCGGAUUUAUUGGGCGUAAAGAGCUCGUAGGCGGCUUGUUGCGUCGACUGUGAAAACCCGCGGCUUAACUGCGGGCUUGCAGUUGAUACGGGCAGGCUAGAGUUCGGUAGGGGAGACUGGAAUUCCUGGUGUAGCGGUGAAAUGCGCAGAUAUCAGGAGGAACACCGCGGGCGAAGGCGGGUCUCUGGGCCGGUACUGACGCUGAGACGCGAAAGCGUGGGGAGCGAACAGG
RNAcentral lists this ribosomal RNA (253 nucleotides) under uncultured bacterium. RNAcentral's name for it is "partial 16S ribosomal RNA". It matches the Rfam family "Bacterial small subunit ribosomal RNA", at positions 524 to 776 of the family's 1533-position model. The record is from RNAcentral.